AACCAACGCUGGCGGCAUGCCUAACACAUGCAAGUCGAACGAGACCUUCGGGUCUAGUGGCGCACGGGUGCGUAACGCGUGGGAACCUGCCCUUAGGUUCGGAAUAACCCCCCGAAAGGGGUGCUAAUACCGGAUAAUUUCUUCGGACCAAAGAUUUAUCGCCUUUGGAUGGGCCCGCGUUGGAUUAGCUAGUUGGUAGGGUAAAAGCCUACCAAGGCGACGAUCCAUAGCUGGUCUGAGAGGAUGAUCAGCCACACUGGGACUGAGACACGGCCCAGACUCCUACGGGAGGCAGCAGUGGGGAAUAUUGGACAAUGGGCGAAAGCCUGAUCCAGCAAUGCCGCGUGAGUGAUGAAGGCCUUAGGGUUGUAAAGCUCUUUUACCCGGGAUGAUAAUGACAGUACCGGGAGAAUAAGCUCCGGCUAACUCCGUG
This 433-nucleotide ribosomal RNA is filed under the name uncultured bacterium. RNAcentral describes it as "partial 16S ribosomal RNA". It matches the Rfam family "Bacterial small subunit ribosomal RNA", at positions 32 to 507 of the family's 1533-position model. The record is from RNAcentral.